UACAGAGGUCUCAAGCGUUGUUCGGAUUCAUUGGGCGUAAAGGGUGCGUAGGCGGCGCGGUAAGUCGGGUGUGAAAUCUCGGGGCUUAACUCCGAAACUGCAUUCGAUACUGCCGUGCUUGAGGACUGGAGAAGAGACUGGAAUUUACGGUGUAGCGGUGAAAUGCGUAGAUAUCGUAAGGAAGACCAGUGGCGAAGGCGGGUCUCUGGACAGUUCCUGACGCUGAGGCACGAAGGCCAGGGGAGCAAACGGG
Molecule: ribosomal RNA, 253 nt
Filed under: uncultured bacterium
Lineage: Bacteria
Description: partial 16S ribosomal RNA
Rfam family: Bacterial small subunit ribosomal RNA
Source: RNAcentral